Molecule: regulatory RNA element, 126 nt
Organism: Enterococcus aquimarinus
Lineage: Bacteria; Bacillati; Bacillota; Bacilli; Lactobacillales; Enterococcaceae
Rfam family: Ribosomal protein L20 leader
About the family: This family is a putative r-protein leader autoregulatory structure found in B. subtilis and other low-GC Gram-positive bacteria. It is located in the 5' untranslated regions of mRNAs encoding initiation factor 3 followed by ribosomal proteins L35 and L20 (infC-rpmI-rplT).
Source: Rfam
AAAUGAAAGUAGAAGCACCCGCUUCUCGCCUGAGGGAUCAUAUCGCUGGGCAGAAUAGGAUUUCAGACUAAAUUUAGGCUGAAGUACGCGCGGGUUCUGAUAAAGAACUCGUUUUUUUGUAUUUUA